This 478-nucleotide unclassified non-coding RNA is filed under the name Hevea brasiliensis (rubber tree). The record is from RNAcentral. Lineage: Eukaryota; Viridiplantae; Streptophyta; Magnoliopsida; Malpighiales; Euphorbiaceae.
UAAUUUAGAUCUCACAGCUUGACAGGAAAGACAUGCUUUUUCUACUCUUUAUCCUUUUGAUGCUUUCUGUCUUUCUUGUCUCCUUGUCUUUCUUUAGCUCUUUUUUUCUUUUCUUUUCUUUUCUCUUCUUUUCUCUUCUUUUCUCUUUCUCUUUUUCAUUUCUUUUUUUUUUUUUUUCUUUUUCCUUUCUUUUCUCUGAUUUUCUCUGCUGGGUACCUGAUUCUCUUCAUCACCAAUCCCUUCUCAGAGAUAUAAUGAUUUCAAAAUGAUAAUACACUGUAGUGGGAUUAUCAAUGUGGCCCGCCCAAGGUGAACUCCAAAUUAGGCUUCUUGGGGCUCGUCCCUGAAAGGGUUGAUGAGCUUACAUCUGAUAUUCUUUCAUAAAUUGAGCAAUUUGGAUCCGCGUCCUUGUGCUUAAGCGAUGGUAAGUUUCCACAAGAAUCCUUUGAUUUCACAUGCAACCAAUCUUCCCUUGACG